Molecule: long non-coding RNA, 1340 nt
Organism: Engraulis encrasicolus (European anchovy)
Lineage: Eukaryota; Metazoa; Chordata; Actinopteri; Clupeiformes; Engraulidae
Exons: 5
Source: RefSeq, a predicted model, not a curated record
CUUCAGCACAACCAGAGGAACCAUAUCUCCUGCAUUGUUGACAUCGGUUGAAACCAUGGGCCACAUUUUCCUCAUCGUGAUGUUGCUGUUGUCAGGUAUGUGUGGCUAUGGAGGCUGUGCAGAGGGGAAGCCUAGGGAUGGAGGUGUCAGACCUGGCUGGAACAAUCCUGGGCAUGCAGUGACAAAGCAUAGUCACGCUGGCAAGAAAGCGGGACCCUUUUGUUCGCUUUGUACACUUCUUGUGAGGAGAUUUCAGAAAGUUUGUAACGUUAGCAAGGAACAAGUUGCAGAAAAGCUGGAAGAGAUUUGUAGCAAAUUGUUAUUUGGCAAAGAAAGGUGCAGGAAGUUUGUUGGAGAAAACAAAGACAAAUUGUUGGAUGGUCUUACCAAUCCCAAAUCACCCUGCACUUUCCUGAAGUUUUGCUAAACGCAACAGCCCCUAUGAGGACCUCUGGCCCGGAAGUGAGCCGUUGGUGAUGAGACUGCUGUAGGACUGACUUCUGCUUCUUGCUAUUUGAUUACUAUUGCUUUUGUACUCAUCUUACCUUGACCCUUGUUCUCUACUCUCUACACCCCCACCACCCCACCAAGAUGAAAAUGGAGUGGCAAAAACACCCCAAUAAUGACGCUGAUGUUGAUUGUUUUUUAUCUGCCUACACACACUUCAGUCAAUAAAAACAUUCUCAAAAUUUGAGAGUGUGGGUGCCCAUGAAGUUAAUUAUGAAGGUCCAUCCCUAGGUCAAUGCCUAAUGCCUACUACGUUCUGUAAAAGAAACUUGUAAUGGCAUUGUUCCAGCAGAUGGCAGGAUUACCUAAGUGAUCUGCCUCUGGGCUGAUCUCUCCGUAGCAUUGUUCAUAGCAGUGCUUUUUCAUUCAAUUAAAUACUUUGAUUCAGAUCUUUGUCUUCCAAAUGAACAUUCUCUUCCUGUCUAAAUGUGUUCAGAGAGUGCACCUCUGCCAUCUGGCGGACAGAAACACACACGCACCUCAAAUGUACAAACAAAAAAAAUAAACGUGGGCCUACAGUGCACACAAAUCAUAACCAUCUUGAUGCAAGUAAAUUUUAAAGUUUUUUUUGUCUUUUUGACUUUAUUUAUGAUAGGACAAUGAAGGUGUCGCGAGUGAGAGAAACAGGGAAGGGACGGCAAAGGACUGGGAUUCGAACCUGGGUCAGCCGCAUGGUAGACGAGUGCCCUACCGGUUGGCCACAGCAGGGCCUGACAGAAGAAAAUUUGGGCAGUCGAUUUGACUUUGAGAAAAAGUAAAAAAAAAACAAAAAAAAAGAAACCAGAGUGCCACACUCUCCUGCUCUUUUUUAUUUAAACAUGUAAUAGCUAUGG